This 700-nucleotide unclassified non-coding RNA is filed under the name Hevea brasiliensis (rubber tree). The record is from RNAcentral. Lineage: Eukaryota; Viridiplantae; Streptophyta; Magnoliopsida; Malpighiales; Euphorbiaceae.
UUUUUCAAGGAUGGGAAAACAUCACCAUGUCCAGGAGGGUACCAUCCAUCCUUGUCAGUGCGUCCUUUACUAGGGAGUGGAAGAUAGUCCUCAGCAACCAAACGUGGAUACUGGCUCUGGUUGAAAGUAUGAAUCUCCACAUUUGAACCUUUGUAUUUUUCAAUGAUCUUUUGAGUAUCAUCAUGGGUGUUAAAUGAGUUCAUCAGAAGUAAAGGAACGUUGCACCCAUAUAUGGAAUUAAGAUUCUCUAUUUGGAUAACAAUCAAGUCAAGAAAUGUCAAACCAUUCCGGACUUCAAUGACUGACUUAGGACCCGUGCAGCCCAUUGUUGUCCCCAAACCUCCAUUAAGCUUCAAAACGACAAGUUUGUCCAAUAGUUUCUUAGUUUCAGCAGGAUCAUUAGGUACAGGUGCCAAGGAAUCAUAAGGAACCACUACUUCGUCUGUUGGAGUCUGGAUCUUGCUCCACUCAACAUGCUGUGCUUCCCCACUGAGAUAGCGGGAGACAAGGUUGAUAAAUCCAGAUUUCUCAUUGUCAGUUAUCUGGGUAAGACCAGAAACAGCAGCUUUAAGCUUGGAGAGCUUCUCGGUAUCAGCAGGGCUAAGAGUAGCAGCAGAGGCCAUGGUGUAACAACAAACAAGGAAUGCAAAGCGAGAGAGAAAAGCGAUGAAGAGAAUGACCCACUUGAGAAAACAAGGGA